This 433-nucleotide ribosomal RNA is filed under the name uncultured bacterium. Its description in RNAcentral is "partial 16S ribosomal RNA". It matches the Rfam family "Bacterial small subunit ribosomal RNA", at positions 29 to 507 of the family's 1533-position model. The record is from RNAcentral.
AACGAACGCUGGCGGCAUGCCUAACACAUGCAAGUCGAACGAGACCUUCGGGUCUAGUGGCGCACGGGUGCGUAACGCGUGGGAACCUGCCCUUAGGUUCGGAAUAACUCCCCGAAAGGGGUGCUAAUACCGGAUAAUGUCUUCGGACCAAAGAUUUAUCGCCUUUGGAUGGGCCCGCGUUGGAUUAGCUAGUUGGUAGGGUAAAAGCCUACCAAGGCGACGAUCCAUAGCUGGUCUGAGAGGAUGAUCAGCCACACUGGGACUGAGACACGGCCCAGACUCCUACGGGAGGCAGCAGUGGGGAAUAUUGGACAAUGGGCGAAAGCCUGAUCCAGCAAUGCCGCGUGAGUGAUGAAGGCCUUAGGGUUGUAAAGCUCUUUUACCCGGGAUGAUAAUGACAGGACCGGGAGAAUAAGCUCCGGCUAACUCCGUG